AUUGAACGCUGGCGGCAGGCCUAACACAUGCAAGUCGAGCGGAGCGGCGGACGGGUGAGUAAUGCCUAGGAAUCUGCCUGGUAGUGGGGGAUAACGUCCGGAAACCGGCGCUAAUACCGCAUACUAUCAGAUGAGCCUAUGUCGGAUUAGCUAGUUGGUGGGGUAAUGGCCUACCAAGGCGACGAUCCGUAACUGGUCUGAGAGGAUGAUCAGUCACACUGGAACUGAGACAAGGUCCAGAAUCCUCCGGAAGGCAGCAGUGGGGAAGUGUGGACAAGGGGCGAAAGCCUGAUGCAGCAAUGCCGCGGGUGUGAAGAAGGUCGUCGGGUUGUAAAGCACUUUAAGUUGGGAGGCGUUACCAACAGAAUAAGCACCGGCUAACGUCGUGCCAGCAGCCGCGGUAAUAC
RNAcentral lists this ribosomal RNA (407 nucleotides) under uncultured bacterium. RNAcentral's name for it is "partial 16S ribosomal RNA". It matches the Rfam family "Bacterial small subunit ribosomal RNA", at positions 30 to 526 of the family's 1533-position model. The record is from RNAcentral.